AACGCGAAGAACCUUACCUGGGCUCGAACGGCUGGUUAACGCCGGUGGAAACAUCGGUACUCCGCAAGGAGGUCCAGUCGAGGUGCUGCAUGGCUGUCGUCAGCUCGUGUCGUGAGAUGUUGGGUUAAGUCCCGCAACGAGCGCAACCCUUAUCUCCAGUUGCCAUCAUUCAGUUGGGCACUCUGGCGAAACCGCCUCGGAUAACGGGGAGGAAGGUGGGGAUGACGUCAAGUCCUCAUGGCCUUUAUGUCCAGGGCUACACACGUGCUACAAUGGCCGGUAUAAACCGCUGCAAACCCGCGAGGGGGAGCUAAUCGGAAAAAGCCGGCCUCAGUUCGGAUUGCAGUCUGCAACUCGACUGCAUGAAGCUGGAAUCGCUAGUAAUCGCAGAUCAGAAUGCUGCGGUGAAUACGUUCCCGGGCCUUGUACACACCGAGACGAC
This 442-nucleotide ribosomal RNA is filed under the name uncultured bacterium. RNAcentral's name for it is "bacterial SSU rRNA". It matches the Rfam family "Bacterial small subunit ribosomal RNA", at positions 958 to 1398 of the family's 1533-position model. The record is from RNAcentral.